UCCUAACAACACAAAACAUUCCAGGAAUGUAUAGGUACUACCGUUCUAUUCCGUGAACAUCUAUCUGAUUAAAUUAUGGGUGGAAAGUUACCACAAGAUAUUCUAUGAACAUAGUACAAUGUCUUCCUGGAGGGGGAAAAUUUUCCAUUACAAGAUUUUAAGAGAGGCCAUUUAUUGUACUGUUCAAUUUGCGUUCAUUUUCAAAUUUGCCGCGCGAGUAUCUAUGUAGCGUCUCGUGGUCAUUGGUCAUCACAUUUCAUUUUCAUAACCUUAGACAAGGAAAGAGAGAGGACGAGUAAUCCUAUGACCAAAAGUGAAGCCAAACUGACACCAGAGAUUUUGAUCAUCGACGUAUCUUUGGGGUAUUGUUAUGCAUUGAGUAUUUAAAAUAAAAACAUGAAAUGUAUUUAAAAUGAAGAAUUUGUGUACGGUAAAUGUUUUAUUAAGUUGCUCAUAUUACGUACAUAUGUUUCAAUACAUACACAUGUUUUUAUUACGAAUUUUAGAUGAUGAUUUACUUUAUUUUUUAUGAAAUUUUAACCUUCAACGAACACCCACCACUGACAACCCAUUGUUAUUUUUGACGUGACCGCCAUGUUUCUGGUGACAAACAAACCAAAAACUGGCUUCACUUUUGGAACGUGUGUUUUAAAUGAGUGUUACCCGUCCUCUCUUUUUUCCUUGUCUAAGUUCAUAACAUAACCGAUAACCUAAAAAUUUAGUAAAAAAGUAAAAAUUUUGAUUGGAAAAAAAUGCAUCGAUAAGGGGGUGUGGGAAAUGGAAAUUAGUGGCUUUUUUGCUGUACUGUCUGCUAGUUUUUGCUCUGGGCACUGGCUAGAUCUCUUGUUUAAACAAUUUUAAUCAGCUGAAAGUGGCCUACAAAAAAAAACCAAGAAGGAAAUGUAUAGCCUUGUGGCUAUGAAAGGCAAAAGAGAGAUAUAAAAAGUGUAUUGGCUAGUUGGAAGAAAGUCCACAUUGUCCAUGCAUAAUAAGUUAUUACAUUAUCAACAAAUAUCAAGAAGAUAGCAGGGUCACGAGCAUCAACUUCAUGAGUUCAAGAAUAUCGAGGAAAUCCAGCUCCUCGAUACUACUGGGCAAACUAGAAGAUUGAAGAGGACAAAUCCUUUUGAACUAGUUUGAGUGAUAGGUGAUAGUGAAAAACGGAGCAUAGUGCUUGUGUGCUGUGCCUGUGUAUGUUAGAAUAGUGCACGAUCUUGUUAGAUUAGAUAAGAGACGCUAUGGGGUAAGCUCUUCAUUUUAAGAAACAGUAGUAAUUUAGGCUAAAUUAAAAUUGCUCAUUGGUCAGUUAUGACCAGAUUGUUUUUUUAUGUUUGGCAAAAAGGACUUAAGUCAGAAUUGCACAUUGAUAAUGUUUUGAUGAUUUCUGGACCAGAAAAAAACUGUUGUAGAUGUAAACUGUAUGUACAGUAGAAUCUACUACAGUACUGUAGAAAUCAUCAAAACAUUAUCGAUGUGCAAUUCUGACUUAAGCCCUUUUUCCCAAACAUCAGAGAAUUGUAAUGUACAAUAAUUCUCCUAUCUGCUUUUUCAUGAAUUUUGUAGGAGACGAAAAACCAUUUUUAGGAUCAUCUGCUUUCACAUGUUUUGUAGUAAAUACAUAGUUGAAUUUACUACAAAACAUGUCAAAAAAUAUAUGAAAACAGGAGGUGACUAUAAAAAAAGUUUUUAAGUCCACUUUACAUCAACAAUAAAUUGGACAAGAAAUUGACCAAGUUAUUCAAGGCCAAAUUUGACGUGUAAAAGCACACUUUGACAUCUAAGUUUGUUCGUUAUAAACUUCACGUGAAGAAAUUGACGAAAAAGAAAAUUGUUCUAUUUUUUCAUUUAUUUGGCGUGAAUUCAGUGUCACCAACCUGUGUCCAUUUGGCGGGAAGUGGAAGUAGAGCUGUAGAGCUUUUUGUUUAUUAUUAUUUGUUGAGGUUGAGUCUUUCAUGUUCAUGACAACCUAAAAAUUUUGAUUGGAAAAUGCAUAUAAGAUAAGGGGGUGGGAAAAUGGAAAUUAGUGGCUUUUUUGCAGUUCUGUCUGUUAGUUUUGCUCUGGCUGGGUCUCUUUUGUUUAAACAAUUAUAAUCAGCUGAAAGUGGUCUACAAAAAAACCAGGAAGGAAACGUAUUAUAGCCUUGUUGUGGCUAUGAAAGGCAAAAGAAAGAUACCUAUAAAAAGUGUAUUGACUAGUUGGAAGAAACUCCACAUUGUCGAUGCAUAAUAAGAUAUUACUUUAUAAACAAAUAUCAAGACCUAGGAAUGGAACCUGGAUAAUAUAGUCAUCAAGAAGAUAGCAGGAGGUCAUGAGCAACAACAACUUCAUAAGUAUGAGAAUAUUGAGGAAAUCCAGCUCCUCGAUAUCUACUACUGGACAAACUAGAAGAUUGAAGAGGACAAAGCCUUUUGAACUAGUUUGAGUGAUAGGUGAUAGUGAAAAGCAGAGCGUAGUGCUUGUGUGCCUGUGUAUGUUAGAAUAGUGCACGAUCUUGUUAGAUUAGAUAAGAGACGCUAUAGGGUAAGCUCUUCAUUUUAAGGAACAGUAGUAAUUUAGGUUAAAUUAAAAUUGCUCAUUGGUCAGUUAUGACCAGAUUGUAAUUCUCUGAUGUUUGGCAAAAAGGGCUGAAGUCAGAAUUGCACAUCAAUAAUGUUUUGAUGAUUUCUGGACCAUAAAAAAAGUGUUGCAGACUUAAACUGUAUGUACCAAUAAAAAGAGCCGAUUUUUCUGGUCCAGAAAUCAUCAAAACAUUAUCGAUGUGCAAUUCUGACUUAAGCCCUUUUUCCCAAACAUCAGAGAAUUGCAAUGUACAAUUCAAUACAAAUGAAUCAUCAUCGUAGUGAUGAUUAUGGAAAAAAAUAUAUAUAUAUAUAGAAAUAUAUAUAUUUUGUGCAAUAAAAAUGUUUAUAUUUA
This is a long non-coding RNA of Diabrotica virgifera virgifera (western corn rootworm), 2914 nucleotides long. RefSeq lists it as uncharacterized. The transcript has 3 exons. NCBI's taxonomy places the organism in Eukaryota, Metazoa, Arthropoda, Insecta, Coleoptera, Chrysomelidae. The record is from RefSeq and is a predicted model, not a curated record.